Molecule: small RNA, 4072 nt
Filed under: Rattus norvegicus (Norway rat)
Lineage: Eukaryota; Metazoa; Chordata; Mammalia; Rodentia; Muridae
Description: uncharacterized LOC108352079
Source: RNAcentral
AAAACAAACAAACAAACAAACAAACAGCCUAAGAAAGUACAAAGAGCUUUUCAGGAUAACAUACUUGGUCACAUUUUAUCUAUAGUAUAUGGUGGCUGGGUUUCCAGUCCAUAUUUCUUCUCUCUCCAAAGAGGUUUUUGUUUUACGUGGUGCAUCUGUCUCCUGCCACCCUUGGCAGCCUCUUCUCAGCCUUAUGGUUUCAGUGGCCACCCAGAAACGGAUAAGUUAAAGAAAGCGUUUCAAAUCUUAGAACAGUCAUUAUUCUUCAUGGUAGUUAUGUUCUAGAAUAUGACUUUAAGUCAGAAUUAGCCAAUGUUGAACCUUUGUUCCCAAGAAAAACACACAAUGAUAUUCCUCUGAGAUUCAGAUACAAACACUUUCAUGAGUUGAACAGUGCAUAACUUAGGUUAGAAGAGUUUCUGUCUAAAGAUGAGUUGAUUUGUAUUAUUAUGGACUUAUUGCCAUCAAACUUGAAAGCAGCAGCUCUAAAUGAAGCCUCUCCGACUCACAUCACAGCCUUCUUCGUUCCCCACCAUUAGGCUCUUUCCAGCAUGCUCAAGGGCCAUUUGAAACAGGGACAUCACCAACCAAAGAGUACAUAAAUGAGAAAAAAAGUGUGACACUAAUAGACUGCAAAAGGGACAUGUUCACAGUUUGAGAGCUGAUGAGACAUGUUCGUGGUAUGAGCGCUGGGCAAAAAAAAAAAAAAAAGUCAAAGUGUCAUCAGAUUGUCACACCUUGGAUAGGGAUGUCCACACUGGGCAACUCUACUUGUUGUAGAGUGGCUGUAAAGGUGUCAUGAGUAUUGGUCCUUCAGUACUAGAUUUGAGCAAGUAGGGAAAGGCACAGACACAGAAUCCACCAAUAGUGAGGACUUGCAGUGUUCUCAUUCCCCAGUGAGCUCUUGCUCCCUUUCAUUCUUUGUCAUUGACAGCAGCCUGUUAGGUGGCCUCCAGGAACCCCUGUCUCCUGGUCUUCCUUCCAGGAAAAUGGCGUUGGUAAUGACAAUCCCCCUGUUUGAGGUGCUAGACUUAUUUUUUUAAUACAAUGUGGCUUAAGGUGAUAGAAUAUCAGUUUUAAGACUGAGUUACAAAAGCUCCUAAUUCAUCUCCCUCCCCAUCUUUCUCCCCACUCUCCCCUCAUUCCCUCUCCCUGCUCUGUGAGAAACCAGCUAACACCUUUCCAACUUCUCUAUGGAAAAGCUAACAAAAUGGAUUAAGAGAGAUGAUAGGAAAAUGAGACUCUCCACACUAUAGCAGCAACAAACAAUUCUGCCAACAGCCUCUUGAGUGAGCAGAUCUUCCCUCUGGCAAGACUUCAGGUAAAGUUGCCAUCCAGGUCCAUGUGUACAUUAUGAUAUUGUAAGAAGCCUUAGACCCAGAGGCAGCAAGCCAAACCAAUACACAGAUUCUUAUCCCAGAUAAAAUGUAAAAUAAUGAAUGAGUGAUGUCUUAAGAUGCUGUUUUGGGUGCUUUGUGAUCGCAUCAAAGAUAAGCAAUACAGUCACCUCCACAUUCUAUCUAUGCGUAUCGUGUGGUGCGUAUCGUGUGGUGUCUUUUGUCUUCAUAAUGACCUGGCAAAUUGCUGUUAUUAUUUUCAUUGUAUAGAUCAUACAACCGUCUACCAAAGUAUUUGGUAACUUGAAGAAAGUCACACAGUUGGAAGUAGAUUCUGACCUCAAGUCUAAUCAGCCCGAGAACUCAAGCUAUGAUAGAUUCGCAUAAUACCAUGGGCCAGAGAAAGAGUAAUGACUUCCUUGUUUUGAGGUCACUGCCUCAGAUGUUGCCUCAACCAACCCACAGUCAAGAAAGAAAAAAAAAGGUUGAGAGGAAACUGAAAGAGACCAGAGAUGGCCACAGCCGUCUUCAGCAUCUGCCACUGUGCCUUCCCAGUCAGCAUUUGCAGAAGAAGCCAUUGGAGCUAAGGAUUGUGCUAGUGUUGUUUCUCACAAAGUCAUCCAGCCUGGAAUCGGAUUUUAUCUGUGAGGCUGGACUGCCAGACCAAGAGAUACAUGAAGAUCAGUAGCCCCUGUACUGCGAUCCUGACCUUAGGAUGAGAGAGCACUAAGCUCAUGGUCAUCUCCAAACCAGUGCAUCCGGGAUGAAGAUCCACGGAUUCUGAUCCUUGUCCAGAGUACCAUUCCCCAAGCUACUUCCCCAUGCCAGACUUUGAAGUGUGUCAUCUCAGGGUAAAAUGAUGGUUGGCCAUUGUGUCUGUCUUCUCCCCCUCCCAACAGAGGGACUCAUCAUUUGUUUUCAUUUUCUUCUUCCCUGCUGGUCACUGGACAUGACUUUCACAAGUACUGUAAGUGUGAAUUGCCUAUGGUUACAUCUCCUGAUUGGAAUCUGUGACAGUCAAUACUUUCCCAGGAUGGCAUCCCUCAGCAAGACUGGAGUCAAUAAGUGUUGAGAAGGCAAUCAGCAAGUACCCAUUAGCUCUCUGGGCUUUGUUUAGAACUGCAAGCUUUUGCAAAGCAUCAUGCUUAAUUAUUUCUGUAGCAGGGGAUAGACACCCUUCCUAACACCGCUAAAGCAAAUGGAGAUGCAUUAGGCCCGGAACACAAGAAUGAAUAUCAAGUGAUGGGGAAGGAAAGGGCCACAGGAACAUUCUGGGAAAACGAAAGGCUAACACUUCAGUAGUAUCAGGUCUCUGCUUAGUUUCACGCUCACAUGUCCCUGCAUGUUGACUUCAUCCUGCACAGUAUAAAAAAAUGCUCACCGCAGUACAGAAAUGAACGCAAUAGAAGGUACUUCCUAACAUAUGGCUGCAAAUGGCAGGGGUUAAUGGAUGGUCUAUAGAGAGGAGCCUUACAGGGAGAGUGACAUUUUGUCAGUGUCUACUCUGGAAACUGGACUGAAUGCCUGUGAUGAGUAAUCUUCACUGUCAACCUGAUCAGAUUUAGAAACACUUCUCUGGGUAUGUUCAUAGGAGUGUUUCCUGAAAGGUUUAGCUGAAAAUGAAAAACCUCACUCUGAACAUGGGUGGCAUGAUGCCAGUAAGUUGGGGUCAAUAAAAGGGAGAAAGUGGUCUGGAAACUCAGAGUUAAUGUCUCUGUCACUUCCUGACUACAUAUGUAAUGCUAUUGUCACGCAUUCCUGGUGCCCUGCCUUCCUCACAAUAAUGGAAAGUGCCUUCAAACCUUGAGCCAAAAUAAACCUUUCUUGUUUAGCAGAAUUAUUAAGGUAUUCUAUCUUAACAACCAGAAAAGUAACUGAUACAGAAUCUUUGGUGCAGAUACAUGAUGCUAAGAGAGGUGGUAAUAGCAGACACGUGUAAGAAAGAGAAUUAAUUUCAAGUCCCUUGUUUCAAGAGUGGGAGAGGAGGAAGAUAUUCUCAGUGUAGGGAGGGUGGCCUUUCCUAGACAAGCAGGGUGUGCCUACGUUUGAACAGGUUUGGAAGAAGCCUGGCACCAAAUGGAUUCUUCUGAAGCAACAUUGGGCUUGUUUCUCUGUAGGUUCAACUGGUCCAUAGGCAGCUACCCAACCUUCACUUUUAAACUGUGCUUUUCCAAGGACUGACUUCCGCAGUCUCAUCCCAUUUACAGGGUUAUGGGGAAAGCUCUACAACGCAGGACUUGGUCCAGGUUGUUGCUGCUGGGUCCAUGUUAAAAGAGUACCAUCUUCACUUUCAUCCACAUGGUGGUUGAUUUGUCUAUUGACAGGCACUCGAACUAAGCCAGACCCAUCAGAGAAUUUCCAUACACUGUGCUAAGCCAUGAGCAGUCUGAAUCCUUCAAUAAAUCAUAGCUGUUUUUUCUGUCAUCUCUGCCCUCUUGCUUACAAAAGUUAAUUUCCAAAAGUUGAUGACCACGUGGGUUAAAGACAGACUCUUCACAAGAUUGUCCUGCUCAGAUACUAGCCCAAGUCCCAGGAAAAUCCACAUGAGUAAAGACUGAUUACAAAUUAAGAAUGUUCCAUAGUCUCUUCAGAGUUAAUGAUUUGUCAGGAUCUCAGAAGUUUCUGAAAGGGCUAUAUUGUUCAUAAUCAUAGUUUAAUUAUAUCAGAUACACUGGAAUAGAAGAUUUAAAUAGGAAGGAUAGGUUUUUUGUUAGUUUAGGUUUAGUUUUGGUUUA